UACAGAGGGUGCUAGCGUUGUCCGGAAUCACUGGGCGUAAAGGGCGCGUAGGCGGCCCGAUAAGUAGGGGGUGAAAUCUUGCGGCUCAACCGCAAGGCUGCCUUCUAAACUGUCGGGCUGGAGCACGGUAGAGGCAGAUGGAAUUCCCGGUGUAGCGGUGGAAUGCGUAGAGAUCGGGAAGAACACCAGUGACGAAGGCGGUCUGCUGGGCCGUUGCUGACGCUGAGGCGCGACAGCGUGGGGAGCAAACAGG
This 253-nucleotide ribosomal RNA is filed under the name uncultured bacterium. RNAcentral's name for it is "partial 16S ribosomal RNA". It matches the Rfam family "Bacterial small subunit ribosomal RNA", at positions 524 to 776 of the family's 1533-position model. The record is from RNAcentral.